This 253-nucleotide ribosomal RNA is filed under the name uncultured bacterium. Its description in RNAcentral is "partial 16S ribosomal RNA". It matches the Rfam family "Bacterial small subunit ribosomal RNA", at positions 524 to 776 of the family's 1533-position model. The record is from RNAcentral.
UGCAGAGGGGGCAAGCGUUGUUCGGAAUUACUGGGCGUAAAGGGCGCGUAGGCGGCCUGUUAAGUCGAACGUGAAAUCCCUGGGCUCAACCCAGGAACUGCGUCCGAUACUGGCAGGCUUGAAUUCGGGAGAGGGAUGCGGAAUUCCAGGUGUAGCGGUGAAAUGCGUAGAUAUCUGGAGGAAUACCGGUGGCGAAGGCGGCAUCCUGGACCGGCAUUGACGCUGAGGAGCGAAAGCCAGGGGAGCAAACGGG